UCUCUUCUCCGUCUUCUAGGAUAAACAGAAUGGAUAUUUAGUAGACGAGCAGUCGUUCGUUGAGAUUGAUCUGCUAUGCUCUCCCAUGUGCGUGCUGCUACAUUGUUGGGUUCAGUAGCAGCAGGCCAGCUUUUGGCGACGGUAAUGUUUUGAUUGUUGGGGGAGGAAACACUUCCUCUGCAAAUGGGUUCCCGCGUUUCCGAACUGAAAGGGCUGAUACCUGCUAGCUUUUACUAUACAAUUGAAGAAAGAUGAUUCUGAAAAGAUUGUUAGAUACGGAUUUUCAACACUGAUGAUAUUCCUGAUCACAACCAGGUUUGCGAUGAACUAUUCUAUUAUUGGGAAUCCCACACUGGGCUUGGUAUUGCUUUGUUUGAGAAUGGCUUUCAUCAUUCCUAGUUUUCUUCCAUCAGGCCAGAGACAUUGGAUAAAAGUAUUUCCAUCAUUUUUGUAGUUUUCCUCUUUUGAUGUCAGAAUUGUUUGAGCAGAGACCAUCUUUCCCCAGAUCAUAUUCUGUAGCAAGUGUUGGCGUGACCUCUGGUACUGCCCAUUUGAAUAUUUCAAUUCGUUUCAUAGGAGGAGUUCUGAUGCAUCAGCGAGCCUUCUCCUGGAAAUUUUCUAUGAAUGUCGUGAACUUUUCA
Populus trichocarpa (black cottonwood) is the source of this 641-nucleotide long non-coding RNA. RefSeq lists it as uncharacterized. Lineage: Eukaryota; Viridiplantae; Streptophyta; Magnoliopsida; Malpighiales; Salicaceae. The record is from RefSeq and is a predicted model, not a curated record. The transcript is spliced from 2 exons.